Molecule: ribosomal RNA, 468 nt
Filed under: uncultured bacterium
Lineage: Bacteria
Description: partial 16S ribosomal RNA
Rfam family: Bacterial small subunit ribosomal RNA
Source: RNAcentral
GACGAACGCUGGCGGCGUGCUUAACACAUGCAAGUCGAGCGGAAAGGCCCUGCUUUUGUGGGGUUCUCGAUUGGCGAACGCGUGUGUAACACGUGUGUAACCUCCCCUUAUCUUUGGGAUAACUUCACGAAACUGGGGCUAAUACCCCAUAUGAUCUCCUGCUCCAUGUGGGUGGUUGGAAAGUUCCGGCGGUUGGGGCUCGUAUCGCGGCUUACCAGCUUGUUGGGGGGGUAGUGGCUUACCAGGGCUUUGACGGGUAGCCGGCAUGGGAGGGUGAACGGGCACAAUGGGACUGCGGUACGGCCCAGACUGCUACGGGAGGCAGCAGGGGGGAAUAUUGCACAAUGGGGGGAAGCCUGAUGCAGCAACGCCGCGUGCGGGAUGACGGGCUACGGGUUGUAAACCGCUUUGGCCUGUGACGAAGCGUGAGUGACGGUAAUGGGUAAAGAAGCACCGGCUAACUACGUG